GUGCAGCAGGGCGAGAAAACUUCACACUGUGCGAAAGCACGAUGAGGGAAUCCCAAGUGCUUGCACGUAAGUGUAAGCUGUUUCUCUGUCUAAAACGCAGAGAGAGUAAGGGCUGGGUAAGACGGGUGCCAGCCGCCGCGGUAAUACCUGCAGCUCAAGUGGUGACCGUUAUUAUUGGGCCUAAAACGUCCGUAGCCGGUUUAAUAAAUGCCUGGGUAAAUUGUGUAGCUUAACUAUACGAAUUCCGGGUAGACUGUUAAACUUGAGACCGGGAGAAGUUAGAGGUACUCCUGGGGUAGAGGUGAAAUUCUGUAAUCCUAGGGGGACCGCCAGUGGCGAAGGCGUCUAACUAGAACGGGUCUGACGGUGAGGGACGAAGCCCUGGGGCGCAAAC
RNAcentral lists this ribosomal RNA (394 nucleotides) under uncultured microorganism. RNAcentral describes it as "bacterial SSU rRNA". It matches the Rfam family "Archaeal small subunit ribosomal RNA", at positions 330 to 724 of the family's 1478-position model. The record is from RNAcentral.